This 354-nucleotide ribosomal RNA is filed under the name uncultured beta proteobacterium. Its description in RNAcentral is "bacterial SSU rRNA". It matches the Rfam family "Bacterial small subunit ribosomal RNA", at positions 9 to 365 of the family's 1533-position model. The record is from RNAcentral. Lineage: Bacteria; Pseudomonadati; Pseudomonadota; Betaproteobacteria.
GAGUUUGAUCUUGGCUCAGAUUGAACGCUGGCGGCAUGCUUUACACAUGCAAGUCGAACGGCAGCGCGGGCUUCGGCCUGGCGGCGAGUGGCGAACGGGUGAGUAAUAUAUCGGAACGUACCCAAGAGUGGGGGAUAACGUAGCGAAAGUUACGCUAAUACCGCAUACGAUCUAAGGAUGAAAGCAGGGGAUCGCAAGACCUUGUGCUCCUGGAGCGGCCGAUAUCUGAUUAGCUAGUUGGUGAGGUAAAGGCUCACCAAGGCAACGAUCAGUAGCUGGUCUGAGAGGACGACCAGCCACACUGGAACUGAGACACGGUCCAGACUCCUACGGGAGGCAGCAGUGGGGAAUUUU